This 447-nucleotide ribosomal RNA is filed under the name Escherichia coli. Its description in RNAcentral is "bacterial SSU rRNA". It matches the Rfam family "Bacterial small subunit ribosomal RNA", at positions 127 to 570 of the family's 1533-position model. The record is from RNAcentral. Lineage: Bacteria; Pseudomonadati; Pseudomonadota; Gammaproteobacteria; Enterobacterales; Enterobacteriaceae.
UGCCUGAUGGAGGGGGAUAACUACUGGAAACGGUAGCUAAUACCGCAUAACGUCGCAAGACCAAAGAGGGGGACCUUCGGGCCUCUUGCCAUCGGAUGUGCCCAGAUGGGAUUAGCUAGUAGGUGGGGUAACGGCUCACCUAGGCGACGAUCCCUAGCUGGUCUGAGAGGAUGACCAGCCACACUGGAACUGAGACACGGUCCAGACUCCUACGGGAGGCAGCAGUGGGGAAUAUUGCACAAUGGGCGCAAGCCUGAUGCAGCCAUGCCGCGUGUAUGAAGAAGGCCUUCGGGUUGUAAAGUACUUUCAGCGGGGAGGAAGGGAGUAAAGUUAAUACCUUUGCUCAUUGACGUUACCCGCAGAAGAAGCACCGGCUAACUCCGUGCCAGCAGCCGCGGUAAUACGGAGGGUGCAAGCGUAAUCGGAAUUACUGGGCGUAAAGCGCAC